RNAcentral lists this ribosomal RNA (119 nucleotides) under Schistocephalus solidus. Lineage: Eukaryota; Metazoa; Platyhelminthes; Cestoda; Diphyllobothriidea; Diphyllobothriidae. The record is from RNAcentral.
UGUGUUGACCAUACUACGUAGACAGCACCGGUUCUCAUCAGCACACCGAUUUUAAACUGCAUUUGACCCGGUAAGUGAUUGCAUGGGUGACCGGCUGGGAAUACCGGGUGUUGCUGAUA